This 301-nucleotide ribosomal RNA is filed under the name uncultured bacterium. RNAcentral describes it as "partial 16S ribosomal RNA". It matches the Rfam family "Bacterial small subunit ribosomal RNA", at positions 509 to 807 of the family's 1533-position model. The record is from RNAcentral.
CAGUCGCCGCGGUAAUACGUAGGUGGCAAGCGUUGUCCGGAAUUACUGGGCGUAAAGCGCGCGCAGGUGGUUUAAUAAGUCUGAUGUGAAAGCCCACGGCUCAACCGUGGAGGGUCAUUGGAAACUGUUAAACUUGAGUGCAGGAGAGAAAAGUGGAAUUCCUAGUGUAGCGGUGAAAUGCGUAGAGAUUAGGAGGAACACCAGUGGCGAAGGCGGCUUUUUGGCCUGUAACUGACACUGAGGCGCGAAAGCGUGGGGAGCAAACAGGAUUAGAUACCCCAGUAGUCCCUGUCUCUUAUAC